ACAGGGAGCUUGCUCCUGGGUGACGAGCGGCGGACGGGUGAGUAAUGUCUGGGAAACUGCCCGAUGGAGGGGGAUAACUACUGGAAACGGUAGCUAAUACCGCAUAACGUCUUCGGACCAAAGUGGGGGACCUUCGGGCCUCACACCAUCGGAUGUGCCCAGAUGGGAUUAGCUAGUAGGUGGGGUAAUGGCUCACCUAGGCGACGAUCCCUAGCUGGUCUGAGAGGAUGACCAGCCACACUGGAACUGAGACACGGUCCAGACUCCUACGGGAGGCAGCAGUGGGGAAUAUUGCACAAUGGGCGCAAGCCUGAUGCAGCCAUGCCGCGUGUGUGAAGAAGGCCUUCGGGUUGUAAAGCACUUUCAGCGAGGAGGAAGGGUGGUGUGUUAAUAGCGCACCACAUUGACGUUACUCGCAGAAGAAGCACCGGCUAACUCCGUGCCAGCAGCCGCGGUAAUACGGAGGGUGCAAGCGUUAAUCGGAAUUACUGGGCGUAAAGCGCACGCAGGCGGUUUGUUAAGUCAGAUGUGAAAUCCCCGCGCUUAACGUGGGAACUGCAUUUGAAACUGGCAAGCUAGAGUCUUGUAGAGGGGGGUAGAAUUCCAGGUGUAGCGGUGAAAUGCGUAGAGAUCUGGAGGAAUACCGGUGGCGAAGGCGGCCCCCUGGACAAAGACUGACGCUCAGGUGCGAAAGCGUGGGGAGCAA
RNAcentral lists this ribosomal RNA (706 nucleotides) under Serratia sp. 28ANAV. RNAcentral describes it as "bacterial SSU rRNA". It matches the Rfam family "Bacterial small subunit ribosomal RNA", at positions 71 to 771 of the family's 1533-position model. RNAcentral also lists the same sequence under 1 other name. Lineage: Bacteria; Pseudomonadati; Pseudomonadota; Gammaproteobacteria; Enterobacterales; Yersiniaceae. The record is from RNAcentral.